Molecule: ribosomal RNA, 1429 nt
Filed under: uncultured organism
Description: 16S ribosomal RNA
Rfam family: Bacterial small subunit ribosomal RNA
Source: RNAcentral
CGUGCUUAACACAUGCAAGUCGAACGGAAAGGCCCUGCUUUUGUGGGGUGCUCGAGUGGCGAACGGGUGAGUAACACGUGAGUAACCUGCCCUUGACUUUGGGAUAACUUCAGGAAACUGGGGCUAAUACCGGAUAGGAGCUCCUGCUGCAUGGUGGGGGUUGGAAAGUUUCGGCGGUUGGGGAUGGACUCGCGGCUUAUCAGCUUGUUGGUGGGGUAGUGGCUUACCAAGGCUUUGACGGGUAGCCGGCCUGAGAGGGUGACCGGCCACAUUGGGACUGAGAUACGGCCCAGACUCCUACGGGAGGCAGCAGUGGGGAAUAUUGCACAAUGGGCGGAAGCCUGAUGCAGCAACGCCGCGUGCGGGAUGACGGCCUUCGGGUUGUAAACCGCUUUCGCCUGUGACGAAGCGUGAGUGACGGUAAUGGGUAAAGAAGCACCGGCUAACUACGUGCCAGCAGCCGCGGUGAUACGUAGGGUGCGAGCGUUGUCCGGAUUUAUUGGGCGUAAAGGGCUCGUAGGUGGUUGAUCGCGUCGGAAGUGUAAUCUUGGGGCUUAACCCUGAGCGUGCUUUCGAUACGGGUUGACUUGAGGAAGGUAGGGGAGAAUGGAAUUCCUGGUGGAGCGGUGGAAUGCGCAGAUAUCAGGAGGAACACCAGUGGCGAAGGCGGUUCUCUGGGCCUUUCCUGACGCUGAGGAGCGAAAGCGUGGGGAGCGAACAGGCUUAGAUACCCUGGUAGUCCACGCUGUAAACGGUGGGUACUAGGUGUGGGGUCCAUUCCACGGGUUCCGUGCCGUAGCUAACGCUUUAAGUACCCCGCCUGGGGAGUACGGCCGCAAGGCUAAAACUCAAAGGAAUUGACGGGGCCCCGCACAAGCGGCGGAGCAUGCGGAUUAAUUCGAUGCAACGCGUAGAACCUUACCUGGGUUUGACAUGGAUCGGGAGUGCUCAGAGAUGGGUGUGCCUCUUUUGGGGUCGGUUCACAGGUGGUGCAUGGCUGUCGUCAGCUCGUGUCGUGAGAUGUUGGGUUAAGUCCCGCAACGAGCGCAACCCUUGUUCACUGUUGCCAGCACGUUAUGGUGGGGACUCAGUGGAGACCGCCGGGGUCAACUCGGAGGAAGGUGGGGAUGACGUCAAGUCAUCAUGCCCCUUAUGUCCAGGGCUUCACGCAUGCUACAAUGGCUGGUACAGAGAGUGGCGAGCCUGUGAGGGUGAGCGAAUCUCGGAAAGCCGGUCUCAGUUCGGAUUGGGGUCUGCAACUCGACCUCAUGAAGUCGGAGUCGCUAGUAAUCGCAGAUCAGCAACGCUGCGGUGAAUACGUUCCCGGGGCUUGUACACACCGCCCGUCAAGUCAUGAAAGUUGGUAACACCCGAAGCCGGUGGCCUAACCGUUGUGGGGGAGCCGUCGAAGGUGGGACUGGUGAUUAGG